Molecule: long non-coding RNA, 3823 nt
Organism: Agelaius phoeniceus (red-winged blackbird)
Lineage: Eukaryota; Metazoa; Chordata; Aves; Passeriformes; Icteridae
Source: RefSeq, a predicted model, not a curated record
CAAGGCCAAGCACACUUGGGUAGGAGCAACCCCUGGUACCAGCACAGGCUGGGCAUGAACAGCCUCAGAGCAGCCCUGCCCAGAAGGGCUUGGGGGUGCUGUGGGUGAGAGGCUGCACAUGGCCCAGCCAUGGCACUCACAGCCCAGAGAGCCAAACGUGUCCUGGGCUGCAUCCAGAGCCCCGUGGGCAGCAGGGCAGGGAGGGGAUUCUGCCCCUCUGCUCUGCUCUGCUGAGACCCACCUGGAGCACUGCAUCCAGCUCUCAGGUCUGUGCUAUAAAAAAAGUACAAACCUGUGUGCUGGUUUAGAGUACAGUGGCUAGGGUAGAGUUAAUUUUCUACAGAGCUGGCUUUCUUCACAGUUAUGUGGCUGUGUUUUGAGUUUGUGCUGAACACAGUGUUAAUAACAUAGACAUGUUUUUGUUAUUGCUGAGUGGUAAGAAAGAGCCAAAGCCUUUUCUGCUUCUCAUACCACCACACUGGCAAGAAGACUUGGGGUGCAGAGGAAGCUGGGAGUAGACACAGCCAAGACAGGUGACCAAACUCAUCAAACUGAUUCCAGACCAUAUGAAAUCAUGCUCAGUAUCUAAAGUGUUGAGAAGGAGGUAGGGAGACAUUUGGAGUGAUGGUAUUUGUCUUCCCAAGUAACCAUUAUGUGUGAUAGAUCCCUGGCUCUCCUGAAGAUGGCUGAACACCUGCCUGCCCAUGGGAAGCAGUGGAUUAAUUCCUUGUUUUGCUUUGCUUGCAUGUGUGGCUUUUGCUUUUCCUAUUAAGCUCUCUUUAUCUCAAGCCACACAUUUUCUCACUUUUACUGCUUCAAUUCUUGGCCCAAUCCCAUCAGGGAGAGUGGCUGCCUGGGGCUUGGCUGCUGGCUGGGGCUAAACCACUACAGCCUGUCAGAGAGGUGGUGGAUGCCCCUUCCCUGGAAACAUCAAGACCAGGUUGGACAAGGCCCUGAGCCACCUGCUGUAGUUGAAGAUGUCCCUGCUCGCUGCUGGGGCGUGGAACCAGAUGCUCUUUACAGGUCCCUCCCAACCCAAGCCAUUCUGAUUCCAUGAUUCAAUAAAGAGAAGAAUUCACUCCUCUGAAAGUCCUUACUGAUUCCUCUGUUCCCAUCUUGCAACCCCUGCUCUGCACAUUUUUCUUGAGGAGGGAGAGGCCUCCACCCCAUAGGCCUUUUCUGCUUUACCCCACUCUCAUACCUAAGGGGCAGCAUGAAGAGAGAAAUAGCUAAAACUUGCCCUUUUUUUGGUUCUUCUUGACCACUGUUUUCAAAGCCUCAGGCAAGAUCUGAGCCAUGCAUCUUCAUCUACACCUUGCUGGGCCUGCAUUUGAGUUACUGGCAGAAGAUGAGUGCAUUGAUCCUGGAGACAAGCCCACAGAGAUCACCCAAGGCAAUGUUUGCUGCCACUGUGGGAAUGAUGGGCUGCCAACAGCUCUGUGGCCUCUGCUGGAGAUUUGCACCCAACCAGGGCAAUGGCACUUCAGGAAGGAGAGGAAAUAAUCUUGGCCCUUCUCUCUGUCUUCCAUACCCCUACAAUGGUCUUGCUCGCAGGAAGAAAGAAAUAAAUGAGGAAGAGAGAUAUUAAAAACAGCUGAUAAUAACAAAGCAAAGGACCUAGAAGUUUUCAAGUCAGAUUUAACCGAUUGUAUUAGUGGCACCUUGGGGUCCAGUUUACAGUGACAAGUUCUGCUGCUGGAGACUGGAUUAAUGGUAUGUGUAGCUUCCUCCUCUCCCAGUGAGUCUUGUCUUGCCUGGAGACCUAUGUUCCCACAUCAGACCCUAUUUCUUGUUCUGUGAGCCCAAAGAACAAACUGAUUCAUUCAGGUGAAAAUAAAAGAAAAUAUAAAAAGGGACAAUACUGUUUGUGGCAGAGCACACCCCAUGUAAAGUGCUGCUUGCAGGUGAGCUGUGACCACCCAUGGGAGAGCAGCUGAAGGAGGAGGAGAAGAAGGCUUCAUCCUUUCACGAUGAUAUAUCAGAGGUGAUUGGAGCAUGAGGCAGGUUGAGACAAAGCCUGUGCUGGAGGCUGACUGCAAAAAAAGAUGUUUUGAGGGCAGUACAGUACCAAAAGAGCUUGGCUCCUGUACAUUUUUCUCCACGCAUGAGCAAAUCCAUGUUUUACCAGCAAGCUGGGAUGCCAUAUUAAUAGACCAGGUCUUUGCUGGCUGGCAUCAGCACAGAAGUCACAGCUUGAGUUAUGUCUAUCAACUAAGGAGAACUUAAGAAGCAUGUGAAGAUCCAUUAAUAUGUCCUGCGGAGUGCAACAAAGGUGGUGAAAAGGCUGGAUGAAUGUCUUUUGAUGAGGAGCUGAGGACUUUGGGCUUGUCUAGUUUGGAGAAAGGGGGUUUGAGGUAAUGCUCUCUACAGAUUCUUGAAGAGGGAAAGUGGAGAGGGAAGUACUCAGCUCUUCCAGGUAUCCAGUGAUAGGACACGUGGAAUGGUUCAAAGACGAGCCAGGAGAGGUUUAGACUUGGCAUCAGGAAGCGUUUCUUUGCAGAGUGGGUGGACAGAAUAGGCAAGCUAUUGAGGUGGCUAAUGCCCCCAGCCUGUCAGUGUUUAAGGGACAUUUGGAUAAUGCCCUGAACAACAUUCUUGAACUUUUGGUCAGCCCUGAAUUGGUCAGGCAGUUGAAUUGGAGGAUUGCUGUAGUCCCUUCCAACAGAAACAGAAACAGUCAAUUCUUUUCUGUUCUAUUCCACUGACAUAAAUAAAAAACAUGGGAUCGAACUUCCACCAGAAAACACACACAGCAUGGUGCUGCCCGGCCUGCAAGCAGUUUCUCUGAAAAACAGUGUUUCGUGAUCCAGCCCUCCAGCCCCCCAUUGAGGAAGUGAGAGCUGAAUUAAGCAGCUUUCAGUAAAUCUGAGCUCAGUCCAAGGUGGUGAAGAGUGAGCCACAGCCACUGACCUGUUCCAGUGGCUGACCUGUCCCUGUAGGGGAGCACACACUUUAUUUCAGCAAUCAGUCAAGCUCCUGAUGGAUGAGGGAUGUUUCUCCAUAUUACCCCAGUGGCACUGAGCAAGAACUCAUCCCAGCUCCAUGAGAAGAUUGAUGCCAGUCCCCACAGGGACAUUGUCCAGGGUGAGAUGGGAUUUUGCAAGGGCUGGAGUAUUUUAUAGCUUGGAGGCAAUCAGAAGCCCUGGUCCAGGUACCACCGACAGUGCUGGGGCACCUCUGGAGACGGUAAUGGGGGCAACUCUGGGGAAAGCUCAAGAGGCAGGAGAAGGGCAAGCAGAGCAGUCUCAGGGACAAGGGGAAGGGUGCCUUGCAUUUCACUGGAAAACAGCAAAUUUUUUCUGGGAGCAGCUGGAGCUUGGGGAAAACUGCUGCUUCCUGCUCUCCUCCCUGGGUCAAGGUCUGCAGAGGGAGCCAGAGCCAAGGCUGCCAAGUGUCAGGGAGACACUUCAAGGUCCCUCUGCAGUUCAGGCUGCCCAGCUGCAUGAUCUCCCACCAACACACAGGGCCCUGGCUGUCAGUCCUGUGCCUUUGGGAAAGUCCAUAGCUUUGGAAAGUACAGGAGAUUGAUCCAGUGGUCACCCAUGUCUACAGGAUUGUCAUUGGGAUGGGAAAGCCUGGGAGGUGAUGGGGGCAAAGAAGAAGGUUGAAGCCAUGUAAUGACAUAGGGAUGAGGGGACACAUCAUCCAACCUGUUUUCCCAAGGAGCAGGUGCCCUGUGAGGUGGCCUGAGCCCUGCCAUGAGCAGAAGGAUGAAAGAAAUGCCAAGCAGAAAUGGGUCAUCCUCUUCCUGGACAAUUACUGUUAUUUUUCUUUCUUUAUUUUUUUAAUGAAUAUUAUUUAUGUUAUUCAUUAAAUACUCACU